Molecule: non-coding RNA, 137 nt
Organism: Neocucurbitaria cava
Lineage: Eukaryota; Fungi; Ascomycota; Dothideomycetes; Pleosporales; Cucurbitariaceae
Source: the annotation of a GenBank genome assembly
GGUAGCCUGGCCUAGCGGUCAUUAACACAGGUUCUGGGAGGGCGCCCGGCCGCGGUGCCGACCGCAAUAAGAAAUACAGGUCGUGGGUUGCCACGCCGGGGGUCACCGGUUCGAGUCCGGUGGCGGGCAAUAGACCG